CGAACGCUGGCGGCGUGCUUAACACAUGCACGUCGAACGGAAAGGCCCUGCUUUUGUGGGGUGCUCGAGUGGCGAACGGGUGAGUAACACGUGAGUAACCUGCCCUUGACUUUGGGAUAACUUCAGGAAACUGGGGCUAAUACCGGAUAGGAGCUCCUGCUGCAUGGGGGGGGGUGGAAAGUUUCGGCGGUUGGGGAUGGACUCGCGGCUUAUCAGCUUGUUGGUGGGGUAGUGGCUUACCAAGGCUUUGACGGGUAGCCGGCCUGAGAGGGUGACCGGCCACAUUGGGACUGAGAUACGGCCCAGACUCCUACGGGAGGCAGCAGUGGGGAAUAUUGCACAAUGGGCGGAAGCCUGAUGCAGCAACGCCGCGUGCGGGAUGACGGCCUUCGGGUUGUAAACCGCUUUCGCCUGUGACGAAGCGUGAGUGACGGUAAUGGGUAAAGAAGCACCGGCUAACUACGUG
Molecule: ribosomal RNA, 466 nt
Filed under: uncultured bacterium
Lineage: Bacteria
Description: partial 16S ribosomal RNA
Rfam family: Bacterial small subunit ribosomal RNA
Source: RNAcentral